This 512-nucleotide ribosomal RNA is filed under the name uncultured bacterium. RNAcentral's name for it is "partial 16S ribosomal RNA". It matches the Rfam family "Bacterial small subunit ribosomal RNA", at positions 28 to 523 of the family's 1533-position model. The record is from RNAcentral.
GAUGAACGCUGGCGGCAUGCCUAAUACAUGCAAGUCGAACGAGAGGAAGGAAAGCUUGCUUUUCUGAAUCUAGUGGCGAACGGGUGAGUAACACGUAGGUAACCUGCCCAUGUGCCCGGGAUAACUUCUGGAAACGGAUGCUAAAACCGGAUAGGUAGCAGACAAGCAUUUGACUGCUAUUAAAGUGGCUAAGGCCAUGAACAUGGAUGGACCUGCGGUGCAUUAGCUAGUUGGUGAGGUAACGGCCCACCAAGGCGACGAUGCAUAGCCGGCCUGAGAGGGCGGAGGGCAACAUUGGGACUGAGCCACGGCCCAAACUCCUACGGGAGGCAGCAGUAGGGAAUUUUCGUCAAUGGGGGGAACCCUGAACGAGCAAUGCCGCGUGAGUGAGGAAGGUCUUCGGAUCGUAAAGCUCUGUUGUAAGAGAAAAACGACAUUCAUAGGGAAUGAUGAGUGAGUGAUGGUAUCUUACCAGAAAGUCACGGCUAACUACGUGCCAGCAGCCGCCGUAA